UACGUAGGGUCCUAGCGUUGUCCGGAUUUAUUGGGCGUAAAGAGCUCGUAGGCGGUUCGGCAAGUCGGAUGUGAAAUCUCCACGCUUAACGUGGAGGGGCCAUUCGAAACUGCUGUGACUCGAGUCCGGUAGGGGAGUGUGGAAUUCCCGGUGUAGCGGUGAAAUGCGCAGAUAUCGGGAGGAACGCCAGUAGCGAAGGCGGCACUCUGGGCCGGUACUGACGCUGAGGAGCGAAAGCGUGGGGAGCGAACAGG
Molecule: ribosomal RNA, 254 nt
Filed under: uncultured bacterium
Lineage: Bacteria
Description: partial 16S ribosomal RNA
Rfam family: Bacterial small subunit ribosomal RNA
Source: RNAcentral